GUCGAAUUGAAAAUGGAAUGUAGUAGAAGUAGUAGUAACGUGAAGAGAACAGCAGUUUUGUUGCAAACGCGUUUACUUAGACGCGUCGCUCUCGUAUCUUGCACGCUCUUUUGGCUUCGUUUGCAACAGCUGUCUCUCUGUCACACAUGAAUCCUCUUCUUAACCUACGUAACCGACCUGUAGCCUCACCUGUUACAUAUGACAGAAAAAUAACAAAUUUAAUUUAUUUAGCUACUAGUUUCAUCCGUAGCCAGUAUCUAUUAAUGUAUAUGACUAAA
Arabidopsis thaliana (thale cress) is the source of this 278-nucleotide long non-coding RNA. RefSeq annotates it as other RNA. The record is from RefSeq. Lineage: Eukaryota; Viridiplantae; Streptophyta; Magnoliopsida; Brassicales; Brassicaceae. The transcript has a single exon.